Molecule: ribosomal RNA, 901 nt
Filed under: Cytospora junipericola
Lineage: Eukaryota; Fungi; Ascomycota; Sordariomycetes; Diaporthales; Cytosporaceae
Description: partial 28S ribosomal RNA
Rfam family: Eukaryotic large subunit ribosomal RNA
Source: RNAcentral
CCGCCUGAACUUUAGCAUAUCAAUAAGCGGAGGAAAAGAACCAACAGGGAUUGGCCCUAGUAACGGCGAGUGAAGCGGCAACAGCUCAAAUUUGAAAGCUGGCUUAGGCCCGCAUUGUAAUUUGCAGAGGAUGCUUUUGGUGAGGUGCUUCCCGAGUUCCCUGGAACGGGACGCCAUAGAGGGUGAGAGCCCCGUAUGGAUGGACACCAAACCUGUGUAAAGCUCCUUCAACGAGUCGAGUAGUUUGGGAAUGCUGCUCAAAAUGGGAGGUAAAUCUCUUCUAAAGCUAAAUACCGGCCAGAGACCGAUAGCGCACAAGUAGAGUGAUCGAAAGAUGAAAAGCACCUUGAAAAGGGGGUUAAACAGUACGUGAAAUUGUUGAAAGGGAAGCGCUUGUGACCAGACUUGCGCCGGGCAGCUCAUCAGGGGUUCUCCCCUGUGCACUCUGCCCGGCUCAGGCCAGCAUCGGUUCUCGUGGGAGGAUAAGAACAGUAGGAAUGUGGCCCCCUCUCGGGGGGGUGUUAUAGCCUAUUGUACGAUACUCUCGUGGGGACCGAGGUUCGCGCUCCGCAAGGAUGCUGGCGUAAUGGUCAUCAGCGACCCGUCUUGAAACACGGACCAAGGAGUCGUCCAUUAGAGCGAGCGUUUGGGUGUAAAACCCGCACGCGUAAUGAAAGUGAACGCAGGUGAGAGCUUCGGCGCAUCAUCGACCGAUCCUGAUGUCUUCGGAUGGAUUUGAGUAAGAGUUUUAACGGACGGACCCGAAAGACAGUGAACUAUGCUUGUAUAGGGUGAAGCCAGAGGAAACUCUGGUGGAGGCUCGCAGCGGUUCUGACGUGCAAAUCGAUCGUCAAAUAUGAGCAUGGGGCGAAAAGGACUAAAUCCGAAUUUUUCCGCCCCC